RNAcentral lists this unclassified non-coding RNA (346 nucleotides) under soil metagenome. Its description in RNAcentral is "partial contains 5.8S ribosomal RNA, internal transcribed spacer 2, and large subunit ribosomal RNA". The stretch from base 2 to 121 matches the Rfam family "5.8S ribosomal RNA", at positions 35 to 154 of the family's 154-position model. The record is from RNAcentral.
GGAUGAAGAACGUAGCGAAAUGCGAUACGUAAUGUGAAUUGCAGAAUUCAGUGAAUCAUCGAGUCUUUGAACGCACAUUGCGCCCUCUGGUAUUCCGUAGGGCAUGCCUGUCCGAGCGUCAUUGCUGCCCUCAAGCACGGCUUGUGUGUUGGGCCCCGCCCCCCGAUCCCGGGGGGCGGGCCCGAAAGGCAGCGGCGGCACCGCGUCCGGUCCUCGAGCGUAUGGGGCUUUGUCACCCGCUCUGUAGGCCCGGCCGGCGCCUGCCGAUCAACCAAACUUUUUUCCAGGUUGACCUCGGAUCAGGUAGGGAUACCCGCUGAACUUAAGCAUAUCAAUAAGCGGAGGA